GCGUAAUUGGUUUAGUGGUAAAAUUCUCCGUUGCCAUUCACUGAAUGCACCAUCGGGGAGCCCUGGGUUCGAUUCCCAGAUUACGCA
This 87-nucleotide transfer RNA is filed under the name Fusarium tricinctum. RNAcentral describes it as "tRNA-Gly". It matches the Rfam family "tRNA". From Rfam's summary of the family: Transfer RNA (tRNA) molecules are approximately 80 nucleotides in length. Their secondary structure includes four short double-helical elements and three loops (D, anti-codon, and T loops). Lineage: Eukaryota; Fungi; Ascomycota; Sordariomycetes; Hypocreales; Nectriaceae. The record is from RNAcentral.